This 253-nucleotide ribosomal RNA is filed under the name uncultured bacterium. Its description in RNAcentral is "partial 16S ribosomal RNA". It matches the Rfam family "Bacterial small subunit ribosomal RNA", at positions 524 to 776 of the family's 1533-position model. The record is from RNAcentral.
UACAUAGGUCUCAAGCGUUGUUCGGAUUCAUUGGGCGUAAAGGGUGCGUAGGCGGCGCCGUAAGUCGGGUGUGAAAUCUCGGAGCUUAACUCCGAAACUGCAUUCGAUACUGCGGUGCUUGAGGACUGGAGAGGAGACUGGAAUUCAUGGUGUAGCAGUGAAAUGCGUAGAGAUCAUGAGGAAGACCAGUGGCGAAGGCGAGUCUCUGGACAGUUCCUGACACUGAGACACGAAGGCCAGGGGAGCAAACGGG